This 649-nucleotide ribosomal RNA is filed under the name uncultured bacterium. Its description in RNAcentral is "bacterial SSU rRNA". It matches the Rfam family "Bacterial small subunit ribosomal RNA", at positions 83 to 749 of the family's 1533-position model. The record is from RNAcentral.
CCGGAAGAUUUAGUGGCGAACGGGUGAGGAUCACGUGAGAAACCUGCCCCAAACUUUGGGAUAACAGUUGGAAACGAUUGCUAAUACCGAAUAUCGUCGAAGAACCGCAUGGUUCAUUGACGAAAGGAAAUCCGGUUUGGGAGGGUCUCGCGGCCUAUCAGCUUGUUGGUGGGGUAAUGGCCUACCAAGGCAACGACGGGUAGCUGGUCUGAGAGGAUGAUCAGCCACACUGGGACUGAGACACGGCCCAGACUCCUACGGGAGGCAGCAGUGGGGAAUCUUGCGCAAUGGGCGAAAGCCUGACGCAGCAACGCCGCGUGCGGGAUGAAGGCCUUCGGGCUGUAAACCGCUUUCAGCAGGAACGAAAAUGACGGUACCUGCAGAAGAAGGAGCGGCCAACUACGUGCCAGCAGCCGCGGUGACACGUAGGCUCCAAGCGUUGUCCGGAUUUAUUGGGCGUAAAGAGCUCGUAGGCGGUUUAGUAAGUCGGGUGUUAAAACUCUGGGCUCAACCCGGAGAGGCCAUCCGAUACUGCUGUGACUUGAGUUCAGGAGGGGAGCGGGGAAUUCCUAGUGUAGCGGUGAAAUGCGCAGAUAUUAGGAGGAACACCGGUGGCGAAGGCGCCGCUCUGGACUGAAACUGACGCUGA